RNAcentral lists this long non-coding RNA (203 nucleotides) under Elaeis guineensis (African oil palm). RNAcentral's name for it is "long non-coding RNA (EGUI_LNC002115)". The record is from RNAcentral. Lineage: Eukaryota; Viridiplantae; Streptophyta; Magnoliopsida; Arecales; Arecaceae.
CAACUCGUUUAAAAGUAGGUCAAAUGAUCCAUCCCAUUUGGAUUGACAGGUUGAAGCAGGUAUAUAUAUAUAUAUAUAUAAUAUUUUGAAAUUACUAUCGAUUCCAAAUCCAAAUCCAAAUCUCCUUUUUCUCUAAUCUUUUAUUCUCUUUCAUAUUUCAACGAGAAAGAGAGGAAAGAUCGAGAGAAGCCGCUGCUGCUGCC